Oryzias melastigma (Indian medaka) is the source of this 700-nucleotide long non-coding RNA. RefSeq lists it as uncharacterized. The record is from RefSeq and is a predicted model, not a curated record. The transcript is spliced from 2 exons. NCBI's taxonomy places the organism in Eukaryota, Metazoa, Chordata, Actinopteri, Beloniformes, Adrianichthyidae.
GAGCCAGAAUUUGGCUGUAAAUAAACCAAGAACAUUCAAAUUCUCAGAUCAAUAAUCACUAAAUCAAACCAAACUUUGUUUAUAGAGCCCUUUUCAUACAUUUGAUGCACAAAAGAUGUUGCAUACUUACAUUUGUAACUUAAAAAAACAAAAGCAAAAAUAUGGUGUUAAAUUUCCAUCAAAAGUCUCUCACGAGCAUAUAUCAAACUCCACGCACGCAAUGUACUCCACACACAAGGAGCGUUCCAUGGGCGCAGGACCCUUACGGCAAGCCAAUAGGGUCAACACUUACCUGAAGUCCUGUGCUCACUCUUAGCUCUGCAUGGCUAAACCACAGCACACGCCAAAUCUGCAUUUAAGCAACACUGUUAGUUUGUCAUCCUCAAAUUCUGAGCAGCUUCUCUGUAUAAACAUCCUAACCUGCGACUGCAACCGUCUGAGCCUUUUAUCAUCAUCUGCAGCGUCUUCAGCUCCAAGAUCUAAAGGCCUGCUUCUGGAAGGAACGGUGGGAAUCGAUUCAGGGCUAAAUGAAGCUGACCUUUCUGUCUCCUGGUCUGAAGGAGCCUCACUUCGUACCUAAAUGUUCUGUCCACCGUUUGUGGUGUUCUUUUUUGACCUCUGUGCUGCCCACUCUGUUAGACUCGCUGAAACCUGGCCCAGUCGGGGGCUCCGUCUCAGAACAGCGGUUCCCAAACCCUCC